GGGAUCAGGGAUGAUGUGAGAUGUGGUUAUUAUUACACUGAUGUUCCACUGAGAAUUUCUGGCAUCAGGAAGAUUUAAUAUGCAGGAACUUCCAGAAAGAAAGUUCACCAUUUAAAGGGUGAGAUGGCUGUCAUUCAUGAUGUGCAUGAAAAGAAGUAGACGUCUGAUCUUCAGGAACAGCUGAAAACAAACAGCAGUGGUGAGAUAAAAGCUGAAACAAGAAGCUCCAACCUUUUUCAAAUGGAAACAACACAAAAGAGCAGAUACAAGGAAGAUUUUUCCCAGAGGUCGAAAUUGCAGGAGCAGGUAUUGCAACUCCAACAACACCUGCAGAAUGAAAGAGAAAAUUGUUUACAGAGAUCUAAAUGGAUGAGAGAGGGGCUUAUACAGUCAGAAGCUCUCAUACUUCAGCGAGAAGGAAAGCUCUAUACAAUGAAUGGUGGGGACCCAGAAUUAAUGGCAAAAGUUCAGAAGAUUCAAGAAACCAAUGAGGCUGAGGUGAAACAAAUCCAAGAGGAAACAGCAGCAGCCUACCAUCAAAAUGUAAGCCUAUAAUAUACAACAUGUGCUCCCUCUUUCAUUUGUCUACUUUACAAGAGUUAAUAUCCAGUAUCUGAAAGGUUCACAAAGGAGGGGCUUUUUUCCUUCUAGACUAUUAAACUACAGUAGCAGCUUAUUAAAAAAAAGAAUUUCUCCUAACUGGAAAAAAGUGGUCUU
Molecule: long non-coding RNA, 717 nt
Organism: Gavialis gangeticus (Gharial)
Lineage: Eukaryota; Metazoa; Chordata; Crocodylia; Gavialidae
Exons: 4
Source: RefSeq, a predicted model, not a curated record